RNAcentral lists this ribosomal RNA (1545 nucleotides) under Triticum aestivum (bread wheat). RNAcentral's name for it is "partial small subunit ribosomal RNA". Lineage: Eukaryota; Viridiplantae; Streptophyta; Magnoliopsida; Poales; Poaceae. The record is from RNAcentral.
AUGCAGACCACUCGAGGGGCAGAUCAACAUUGCCCCAUUCUCGCCGGUCCUACCUGUCAGUGCUCUCCCAUGGCGAACUCCCAGCCCUCCUCCUGGCUCGCCGCCGUGGCGACCAAUGCCGCCGCCAGGCCAGCCAUCCUCCACCGCGCCCACGCCGCCCUCAUCACCUCUGGCCACCUAUCCUCCUGCACCUCCGUUAACUCCCUCCUCCGCGCCGCUCGCAUCCCCGCUGCCUGCGCCCUUCUCCUCCGCUUCCUCCUCCUCCACCGCCUCCCGCCCGACCACCUCUCCCUCUCCUUCUCCCUCCACUCCUGCACCCGCUCCCCCAGCCUCCCCGUCGCAAGCCUCCUCCACUCGUUCGCCUUCAGGCUUGGCCAUGCCCGCGACGUCUACGUCCUCAAUGCUGCCGUCUCCGCCUACUUCAGGGCCACCGACGUCGCCUCCGCCGAGCGGCUCUUCUCCUACACAAAGGAUGUCGCCGACGUUGUCACCUGGACCACCAUGGUCACCGGGCAUGCCAACGCCGGCGACGUUGCGCGUGCGAGGUGGUUCUUCGACGCCAUGCCUGAGAGGAACGUGGUUUCCUGGAACGCGAUGCUGGGCGCCUACGCAUCCGCCGGGAUGCUGUCCAAGGCGCGGAAGGUGUUCGAUACAAUGCCCAGCCGGAAUGCCGCCUCGUGGAGCUCGAUGGUUACUGGGCUCGUGCAGUCCAAUCAGUGUGAGGAGGCGUUGAGGGUGUUCAGUGAAAUGGUCGGGACGGGUGUCGUGCCGAAUGAGGCUGCACUGGUGAGCGCUGUCUCAGCGUGCUCUCUGCUGCGGUCGAUAGAGCACGGCAUGUGGGUACAUGCGUAUGCCAAGCGGGAGCUGAAUGGGAUGAGCGUCAUCCUCGCGACAGCGAUUGUUGACAUGUAUGGUAAAUGUGGGGGUAUCCAUAAUGCCGUCAGGGUGUUUGCUGCAAUGCCUGUGAAAAACAUCUACUCGUGGAACUCGAUGAUUACUGGACUCGCCAUGAACGGCAGGGAAAUGCAGGCCUUGUCACUCUUCUGGAAGAUGCAGAUGGCUGGUGUUCGACCAAAUGAUAUAACCUUCAUCGGGUUGCUGGGUGCUUGUAGCCACUCAGGUCUCGUUGAUGAGGGCCGCUGGUUGUUCAACAAGAUGGUUAAUGGCUUUGGAAUCCAGCCACUCCAAGAGCACUACGGCCUAAUGGUUGAUUUACUCGGUCGGGCGGGUCAUGUUAGGGAGGCAGUGGAUUUUGUCAACAGCAUGCCGGUGGAGCCGCAUCCGGGCUUGUGGGGUGCGCUUGCUGGCGCCUGCAAGAUCCAUGGUGAGGUGGAGCUUGGUGAGGAGAUUGCCAAGAAGCUCAUUGAACUGGAGCCCCGUCAUGGUAGCCGGUACAUCCUCCUGUCAAACAUAUAUGGUGCAUCAAACAGAUGGGAUGACAUGGCCACUGUGCGCAGGCUCCUUAAGGAGCGCAAGGUCCCCAAGGGCACUGGCAAUGCCAUGGUUGGUAAUGAUGGUCAGUCUAUGAAAUCCAUGCUAGGUUAG